GGAAUCCAGAAAUGUUUAUUUUCUUGGAAGAGCAAAGCAAAACUUUACUUCAGACCUUCCCAAGAAAGAGAUGCAUGCUCUCCCGGUGUAAACGCCUUCCCACUGCCUUCCCUUCUGCAAAUGAGGAAGUUGGAUAAUCUCAGGGGUCCUCUCGAGCUUAAAACUUUUCAGCAUCUUUGGCAUAAGGUGCUAAUUACUUUUAUUUUGCUUUCUUCUUUAUAUUUCGCAGAGCUGAUGUUCUCUUCGCUUCCCAGAAUGCGCAAAAGUGCGGAUUCAAUCCAGAAGGGCUUUGUCAACCACGAAAGUUACAACAGACCUUAAGUACAACCAGGACACUGCAGGGAAAACCUCUGAAUGUCAUUUUGGGAUUUUCGGUGCCUGAGUGUGAAGAUAUUUGCAACUGGCAUAUCAAAUUACAUGUUUCGUGUAAAUACUAGUGUCUGACGACUGCACUUUGAAAUGUCAACGAAGAAAGAAAAUACAGAAAUGCAGAAUCACAGUCCCUAAAGCUCAGAGAGCCUGGCAGCCAACAAGACUUAUUUCAAGACUCCAAGGAAAAUGUCAACAAGGCACUGCGUGUCACAUCAGAGGUCCCAGAGGACAAGCCAUGCAUCGCUUAUGUUGCACAGAGACCCAUGGGGACUUUGGCUGCAAUCUCAUGGUGGCAAGAGCUGGCCCCGCACAGGAACACCAGGUGCUCCUAGGAAAAGACCCAUUUUGGGAUACUACAAGGAGUGCUGUGAGGAGGUAGAGUUAGAAGGUGAGAAAGACAUGAGGGGGGAUUCAGGGCCAGGAGAAAAAGCAAGGGGAAAGAGAUUUGAAGAAUUACUCCCAGAGUGUGUUUGGCCCAGAGUCAGCCAAAUGAGGUGAAGAACACAGUCUAGAGAAGUAUUGCCAAGUCUGCCCCAGAUUUCUGACAGCACCUUCAAGUUUUGGGGCCCAUGGGCUACCCUCACUUCAGACCAGCUGGC
This 971-nucleotide long non-coding RNA is filed under the name Vulpes vulpes (red fox). RNAcentral describes it as "lncRNA (ENSVVUG00000028782.1)". Lineage: Eukaryota; Metazoa; Chordata; Mammalia; Carnivora; Canidae. The record is from RNAcentral.